GACGAACGCUGGCGGCGUGCUUAACACAUGCAAGUCGAACGGAAAGGCCUCUUUCGGGGGGUACUCGAGUGGCGAACGGGUGAGUAGCACGUGAGUAACCUGCCCUUGACUUUGGGAUAACUUCAGGAAGCUGGGGCUAAUACCGGAUAGGAGCUCCUGCUGCAUGGUGGGGGUUGGAAAGUUUCGGCGGUUGGGGAUGGACUCGCGGCUUAUCAGCUUGUUGGUGGGGUAGUGGCUUACCAAGGCUUUGACGGGUAGCCGGCCUGAGAGGGUGACCGGCCACAUUGGGACUGAGAUACGGCCCAGACUCCUACGGGAGGCAGCAGUGGGGAAUAUUGCACAAUGGGUGGAAGCCUGAUGCAGCAACGCCGUGUGCGGGAUGACGGCCUUCGGGUUGUAAACCGCUUUCGCUCAUGACGAAGCUUUGUGUGACGGUAGUGGGUAAAGAAGCACCGGCUAACUACGUG
This 467-nucleotide ribosomal RNA is filed under the name uncultured bacterium. Its description in RNAcentral is "partial 16S ribosomal RNA". It matches the Rfam family "Bacterial small subunit ribosomal RNA", at positions 28 to 507 of the family's 1533-position model. The record is from RNAcentral.